This is a non-coding RNA of Schizosaccharomyces pombe (fission yeast), 803 nucleotides long. The record is from the annotation of a GenBank genome assembly. NCBI's taxonomy places the organism in Eukaryota, Fungi, Ascomycota, Schizosaccharomycetes, Schizosaccharomycetales, Schizosaccharomycetaceae.
UCGCAUAAGCUCUGAAGAUAAGACUUCAGGGCUGUAGAAAUGUCCGACUCCAAGUCUUUUAAGCCUACAACCCUUGUUAAUGAUUCUAAACAUUCCAAGAGUUGUUCUCGAGCUAGAAAAAAGAAAUACAACGCAGCUUGAACGGGAGUUCGAUCAAGAUUUUGAGACGCUUCAAUGCCACGUUGUAGUAAACUUGCGCAUUGAAUUUCAUCCAAAUUUAACUGAGUAGAGAGAGUAAGAGACAACUGGAUGAACUGCUCAUUGACUUUGUUGAUUACACCGCCUAAUUCAACUUCACCGGAUUCCAAUUUUUUGCGAGAAUUAGCAUUAGCUGGAUCUAAAGCCAAAAAUUUUAGAAAAUCCUUUGAGUAGGAUUCAAGACAUUGUAUUAACAAACGAGAAGAAACAUUUGGAUUGCUGGGAUUACUUUCGAUACACUGCAAUAAGUAUAAAAGAGCGGAAAAGUGCUGAGAUUCCCAGACAUCCAUGGUACAGCUUCUCAAAACUAAUGGGAACCGACCUGCAGUUGUCUUAAAAUUAAAAGAGUGUGGAAGAAUCCAGGUUUUAUGAUGUUCUGGCCUAGUUGUCGAGUUUGGUCCUAAAAGGAGGUAUAUAGUAAAGUAGAGAAUAAUAACAGAAUGCUAUUUAGGCAGUAGCGAAAUUCUUCAUUCGAAGAUAUCAACUCUAGUACGACUAAAAAGUUAUAUUAUAAUUUGAAAAUAUCGUGUUUUAUUACCAAGAUUGAUGAAAAUAUUUUUGUUAAGUUGCUUGGGGAGCCGUUAAACCCAGCAUGCAAUGCCAUG